This 543-nucleotide long non-coding RNA is filed under the name Mytilus galloprovincialis (Mediterranean mussel). Lineage: Eukaryota; Metazoa; Mollusca; Bivalvia; Mytilida; Mytilidae. The record is from RNAcentral.
UUUAGAUUUCCGGAAAACCAGGUUUUUGUUUUGGAGUACCUCUGUUUGAUGGUCAGUUAUUUUGUUAGAAGGCUUUAAAGGUAUGGUGAAAAUUGGCAUGUAGAAAGCUGAUACAUGUACAAUUAAGGAUAUACCUGGUUUCUAUGAAGUUAAACUUAAGGUAAAAUAUUUAGAAAGCUGUGAAACCCAAAAUUCAGAAAACAAUUGAUUUUUUGGUCUUAACUGGUCAUUUGAAAUAAUAGUAGUCACAUUUUAAUCUUUUUUGGAGCAAAAAGUCACAUAUUGCAAAUUUAGAGCCUUAAACCUGAAUGUGUGCUAUUUUUAGCUUUUCCCACCCUGACAAUAUGCUUUCAUAUAAAAAAUGUUAUAAAUUGUUAUAAAUGCACAGUAAGUUGUUUCUGUGGUGUUAAACAUUUAAACAUAGGUUGAUUGCUACCCCAAAAAAAUUGUCGUCAUGAAGAUUUGAUGAAAUUAUUUGAUUUUUACCCCUUAUAUCAUUGCGGCAUACCAUGUAUAUGGCAGUUAACAUAGCCUGAUAUAAAC